GAUGAACGCUGGCGGCGUGCUUAACACAUGCAAGUCGAACGGUGAAGGCGGAGCUUGCUCUGCUGGAUCAGUGGCGAACGGGUGAGUAACACGUGAGCAAUCUGCCCCUGACUCUGGGAUAAGCGCUGGAAACGGCGUCUAAUACUGGAUACGAGCUGCGAAGGCAUCUUCAGCAGCUGGAAAGAAUUUCGGUCAGGGAUGAGCUCGCGGCCUAUCAGCUUGUUGGUGAGGUAAUGGCUCACCAAGGCGUCGACGGGUAGCCGGUCUGAGAGGGUGACCGGCCACACUGGGACUGAGACACGGCCCAGACUCCUACGGGAGGCAGCAGUGGGGAAUAUUGCACAAUGGGCGAAAGCCUGAUGCAGCAACGCCGCGUGAGGGACGACGGCCUUCGGGUUGUAAACCUCUUUUAGCAGGGAAGAAGCGAAAGUGACGGUACCUGCAGAAAAAGCGCCGGCUAACUACGUG
Molecule: ribosomal RNA, 468 nt
Filed under: uncultured bacterium
Lineage: Bacteria
Description: partial 16S ribosomal RNA
Rfam family: Bacterial small subunit ribosomal RNA
Source: RNAcentral